This 879-nucleotide ribosomal RNA is filed under the name uncultured bacterium. RNAcentral's name for it is "bacterial SSU rRNA". It matches the Rfam family "Bacterial small subunit ribosomal RNA", at positions 53 to 923 of the family's 1533-position model. The record is from RNAcentral.
ACAUGCAAGUCGAGGGGAACGACAUCGAAAGCUUGCUUUUGAUGGGCGUCGACCGGCGCACGGGUGAGUAACGCGUAUCCAACCUGCCCACCACUUGGGGAUAACCUUGCGAAAGUAAGACUAAUACCCAAUGACGUCUCUAGAAGACAUCUGAAGGAGAUUAAAGAUUUAUCGGUGAUGGAUGGGGAUGCGUCUGAUUAGCUUGUUGGCGGGGUAACGGCCCACCAAGGCGACGAUCAGUAGGGGUUCUGAGAGGAAGGUCCCCCACAUUGGAACUGAGACACGGUCCAAACUCCUACGGGAGGCAGCAGUGAGGAAUAUUGGUCAAUGGACGAGAGUCUGAACCAGCCAAGUAGCGUGCAGGAUGACGGCCCUAUGGGUUGUAAACUGCUUUUAUAAGGGAAUAAAGUGAGUCUCGUGAGACUUUUUGCAUGUACCUUAUGAAUAAGGACCGGCUAAUUCCGUGCCAGCAGCCGCGGUAAUACGGAAGGUCCGGGCGUUAUCCGGAUUUAUUGGGUUUAAAGGGAGCGUAGGCCGGAGAUUAAGCGUGUUGUGAAAUGUAGAUGCUCAACAUCUGCACUGCAGCGCGAACUGGUUUCCUUGAGUACGCACAAAGUGGGCGGAAUUCGUGGUGUAGCGGUGAAAUGCUUAGAUAUCACGAAGAACUCCGAUUGCGAAGGCAGCUCACUGGAGCGCAACUGACGCUGAAGCUCGAAAGUGCGGGUAUCGAACAGGAUUAGAUACCCUGGUAGUCCGCACGGUAAACGAUGGAUGCCCGCUGUUGGUCUGAAUAGGUCAGCGGCCAAGCGAAAGCAUUAAGCAUCCCACCUGGGGAGUACGCCGGCAACGGUGAAACUCAAAGGAAUUGACGGGGGCCCG